RNAcentral lists this transfer RNA (56 nucleotides) under Camelus bactrianus (Bactrian camel). It matches the Rfam family "tRNA", at positions 9 to 63 of the family's 71-position model. From Rfam's summary of the family: Transfer RNA (tRNA) molecules are approximately 80 nucleotides in length. Their secondary structure includes four short double-helical elements and three loops (D, anti-codon, and T loops). Further hydrogen bonds mediate the characteristic L-shaped molecular structure. tRNAs have two regions of fundamental functional importance: the anti-codon, which is responsible for specific mRNA codon recognition, and the 3' end, to which the tRNAs corresponding amino acid is attached (by aminoacyl-tRNA synthetases). tRNAs cope with the degeneracy of the genetic code in two manners: having more than one tRNA (with a specific anti-codon) for a particular amino acid; and 'wobble' base-pairing, i.e. permitting non-standard base-pairing at the 3rd anti-codon position. The record is from Rfam by way of RNAcentral. Lineage: Eukaryota; Metazoa; Chordata; Mammalia; Artiodactyla; Camelidae. RNAcentral also lists the same sequence under 3 other names.
AGCUCAGUGGUAGAGCACAUGCUUAGCAUACAUGAGGUCCUGGGUUCAAUCCCCAG